CACAAGUCAGCAUUUAGUUUCUUGCUUUAGGAAGAGGAAGACUGAUGACCGAAGCUUCAAGACUUUGACAUGUGUGAAAACAUGAAAUGACCCUUGGCUCUUAUUGUUCUUGCUGGUGUGGUAUGUUCACGGCUGAAAAGGUGGUCAGAGGGGAAAGGAGGAAGUGAGAAGAAAGAAACAGGGAAAUGGCUGGAGUGCGAUGGCAUGAUCUGGGCUCACGGCAAACUCCGCCUCCCUGGUUCAAGUGAUUCUCCUGCCUCAGCCUCCCGAGUAGCCGGGAUUACAGGCAUGUGCCACCAUGCCCCGUUGGCCAGGCUGGUCUCGAACACCUUACCUCAGGUAAUCCUCCCACCUUUGGGAUUACAGCAGGCUGAGGAAUUACCAAGGAGGCAGGAGGUGGAGCAAAACACACCAAGCCUGAUGUCAAUCAUUGACAAAUUAUGAUCAAUGCUUGGGAUAUUUUGCAGACCCUGCAUGUGAUGGAUCAGCUGACACCAUCCAGAUCGGUAAACUGGUUCAUCUGAUCUUGUGCCCUCCACCCAGGAACUGACUCAGCGCAAGAAGACAGCUUCGACUCCUUAUGAUUUCAUCCCUAACCAAUCAGCACUCCUGGCUCACUGGCUUCCCCCAACCCACCAAAUUGUCCUUAAAAACUCUGCUCUCCAAAUGCUGGGGGAGACUGAUUUGAGUAAUAAUAAAACUCUGGUCUCCUGC
Molecule: long non-coding RNA, 714 nt
Organism: Gorilla gorilla gorilla (western lowland gorilla)
Lineage: Eukaryota; Metazoa; Chordata; Mammalia; Primates; Hominidae
Exons: 5
Source: RefSeq, a predicted model, not a curated record